GACGAACGCUGGCGGCGUGCCUAAUACAUGCAAGUAGAACGCUGAAGGAGGAGCUUGCUUCUCUGGAUGAGUUGCGAACGGGUGAGUAACGCGUAGGUAACCUGCCUGGUAGCGGGGGAUAACUAUUGGAAACGAUAGCUAAUACCGCAUAAUAGCAGUUAUUGCAUGAUAACUGUUUGAAAGGUGCAAUUGCAUCACUACCAGAUGGACCUGCGUUGUAUUAGCUAGUUGGUGAGGUAACGGCUCACCAAGGCGACGAUACAUAGCCGACCUGAGAGGGUGAUCGGCCACACUGGGACUGAGACACGGCCCAGACUCCUACGGGAGGCAGCAGUAGGGAAUCUUCGGCAAUGGACGGAAGUCUGACCGAGCAACGCCGCGUGAGUGAAGAAGGUUUUCGGAUCGUAAAGCUCUGUUGUAAGAGAAGAACGAGUGUGAGAGUGGAAAGUUCACACUGGACGUAUCUACCAGAAAGGAC
This 478-nucleotide ribosomal RNA is filed under the name Streptococcus mitis. RNAcentral's name for it is "bacterial SSU rRNA". It matches the Rfam family "Bacterial small subunit ribosomal RNA", at positions 28 to 493 of the family's 1533-position model. The record is from RNAcentral. Lineage: Bacteria; Bacillati; Bacillota; Bacilli; Lactobacillales; Streptococcaceae.